RNAcentral lists this ribosomal RNA (917 nucleotides) under uncultured bacterium. RNAcentral's name for it is "bacterial SSU rRNA". It matches the Rfam family "Bacterial small subunit ribosomal RNA", at positions 8 to 916 of the family's 1533-position model. The record is from RNAcentral.
AGAGUUUGAUCCUGGCUCAGGAUGAACGCUGGCGGCGUGCCUAACACAUGCAAGUCGAACGGGUGUGGUAUCAGGGAAAAGGGGUUUACUUCUUUGACCAGAUAACACACUAGUGGCGGACGGGUGAGUAACGCGUGGAUAACCUGCCUUAUACAGGGGGAUAACAGGGAGAAAUUCUUGCUAAUACCCCAUAGGUAUGUCUGACGCAUGUUGGACAUAUUAAAGCUUUGGCGGUAUAAGAUGGGUCCGCGUCUGAUUAGCUAGUUGGUGGGGUAAAGGCCCACCAAGGCGACGAUCAGUAGCCGGCUUGAGAGAGUGGACGGCCACAUUGGGACUGAGACACGGCCCAAACUCCUACGGGAGGCAGCAGUGGGGAAUAUUGCGCAAUGGGGGGAACCCUGACGCAGCAACGCCGCGUGAGCGAAGAAGGCCUUCGGGUCGUAAAGCUCUGUCAUAGGGGAAGAGGAGAAGACGGUACCCUAUGAGGAAGCCCCGGCUAACUACGUGCCAGCAGCCGCGGUAAUACGUAGGGGGCGAGCGUUGUCCGGAAUUACUGGGCGUAAAGGGUGCGUAGGCGGCCUGAUAAGUCAGAUGUGAAAUACCAGGGCUCAACCCUGGGGGUGCAUUUGAAACUGUCGGGCUUGAGUGCAGGAGAGGAAAGCGGAAUUCCUGGUGUAGCGGUGAAAUGCGUAGAUAUCAGGAGGAACACCAGUGGCGAAGGCGGCUUUCUGGACUGUAACUGACGCUGAGGCACGAAAGCGUGGGGAGCGAACAGGAUUAGAUACCCUGGUAGUCCACGCCGUAAACGAUGGAUACUAGGUGUAGGGGGCGAUUAUGUCUUCUGUGCCGUAGUUAGCGCAAUAAGUAUCCCGCCUGGGGAGUACGGCCGCAAGGUUGAAACUCAAAUGAAUUGACGG